AGUGAACGCUGGCGGUAGGCCUAACACAUGCAAGUCGAACGGCAGCACAGUAAGAGCUUGCUCUUACGGGUGGCGAGUGGCGGACGGGUGAGGAAUACAUCGGAAUCUACUUUUUCGUGGGGGAUAACGUAGGGAAACUUACGCUAAUACCGCAUACGACCUACGGGUGAAAGCAGGGGAUCUUCGGACCUUGCGCGAGUGAAUGAGCCGAUGUCGGAUUAGCUAGUUGGCGGGGUAAAGGCCCACCAAGGCGACGAUCCGUAGCUGGUCUGAGAGGAUGAUCAGCCACACUGGAACUGAGACACGGUCCAGACUCCUACGGGAGGCAGCAGUGGGGAAUAUUGGACAAUGGGCGGAAGCCUGCUCCAGCCAUACCGCGUGGGUGAAGCAGGCCUUCGGGUUGUAAAGCCCUUUUGUUGGGAAAGAAAAGCAGCAGGUUAAUACCCCGCUGUUCUGACGGUACCCAAAGAAUAAGCACCGGCUAACUUCGUG
This 492-nucleotide ribosomal RNA is filed under the name uncultured bacterium. Its description in RNAcentral is "partial 16S ribosomal RNA". It matches the Rfam family "Bacterial small subunit ribosomal RNA", at positions 29 to 507 of the family's 1533-position model. The record is from RNAcentral.